CCUACGGGUGGCAGCAGUCGAGAAUCAUUCACAAUGGGGGAAACCCUGAUGGUGCGACGCCGCGUGGGGGAAUGAAGGUCUUCGGAUUGUAAACCCCUGUCAUGUGGGAGCAAAUUAAAAAGAUAGUACCACAAGAGGAAGAGACGGCUAACUCUGUGCCAGCAGCCGCGGUAAUACAGAGGUCUCAAGCGUUGUUCGGAAUCACUGGGCGUAAGGCGUGCGUAGGCUGUUUCGUAAGUCGUGUGUGAAAGGCGCGGGCUCAACCCGCGGACGGCACAUGAUACUGCGAGACUAGAGUAAUGGAGGGGGAACCGGAAUUCUCGGUGUAGCAGGGAAAUGCGUAGAUAUCGAGAGGAACACUCGUGGCGAAGGCGGGUUCCUGGACAUUAACUGACGCUGAGGCACGAAGGCCAGGGGAGCGAAAGGGAUUAGAUACCCGUGUAGUC
This 446-nucleotide ribosomal RNA is filed under the name uncultured bacterium. Its description in RNAcentral is "partial 16S ribosomal RNA". It matches the Rfam family "Bacterial small subunit ribosomal RNA", at positions 338 to 795 of the family's 1533-position model. The record is from RNAcentral.